RNAcentral lists this unclassified non-coding RNA (276 nucleotides) under uncultured fungus. RNAcentral's name for it is "sequence contains ITS1, 5.8S rRNA gene". The stretch from base 228 to 276 matches the Rfam family "5.8S ribosomal RNA", at positions 1 to 49 of the family's 154-position model. Lineage: Eukaryota; Fungi. The record is from RNAcentral.
UUUUCGUAGGUGAACCUGCGGAAGGAUCAUUAGUGAAUUACAAUAAGAGCGCUCGCAAGAGGCUCGGUAACACUAUUCACACACUGUGAACUUGUCUUUAUCAUUUCGCUUUAGAGUGUGAAAGGGCCUUAUGGGGCUUGAGUAAUGCUUUAAAGGGGGGUUUUAAAACUCUAGUCUUUAAACACUAGUCUUGUGGAAUGUAGUUGAAAUUGAUUAAACGAAAGUAUAACUUUCAGCAACGGAUUUCUUGGCUCUCGCAUCGAUGAAGAACGCAGC